This is a long non-coding RNA of Notothenia coriiceps (black rockcod), 215 nucleotides long. RefSeq lists it as uncharacterized. Lineage: Eukaryota; Metazoa; Chordata; Actinopteri; Perciformes; Nototheniidae. The record is from RefSeq and is a predicted model, not a curated record. The transcript has 3 exons.
CAGAGACAUUGCUAAGAACUCUCUGCUGCGGUGGCCCAUCUUCAUUUACUGGACUCUCCUGGGUGUGUACGACGCCAUCGUGAUGUUCUUCGGUGCUUACUUCCUGUUUGACAACACCACCUUCACCAGCAACGGACAGAUGUUUGGAAACUGGACGUUUGGGACGCUGGUCUUCACUGUGCUGGUCUUCACUGUUACAUUCAAGUGGCUCUGGA